Molecule: ribosomal RNA, 253 nt
Filed under: uncultured bacterium
Lineage: Bacteria
Description: partial 16S ribosomal RNA
Rfam family: Bacterial small subunit ribosomal RNA
Source: RNAcentral
UACGGAGGGUGCAAGCGUUGUUCGGAAUUACUGGGUGUAAAGCGCGCGUAGGCGGUUUGCUAAGUCAGAUGUGAAAGCCCUCGGCUUAACCGGGGACGUGCAUUUGAAACUGGCAGACUUGAGUACUGGAGGGGGUGGUGGAAUUCCCGGUGUAGAGGUGAAAUUCGUAGAUAUCGGGAGGAAUACCGGUGGCGAAGGCGACCACCUGGCCAGAUACUGACGCUGAGGUGCGAAAGCGUGGGGAGCAAACAGG